RNAcentral lists this ribosomal RNA (466 nucleotides) under uncultured bacterium. RNAcentral describes it as "bacterial SSU rRNA". It matches the Rfam family "Bacterial small subunit ribosomal RNA", at positions 329 to 792 of the family's 1533-position model. The record is from RNAcentral.
GGCCAGACUCCUACGGGAGGCAGCAGUGAGGAAUAUUGGUCAAUGGGCGGAAGCCUGAACCAGCCAAGUCGCGUGAGGGAAUAAGGCCCUACGGGUCGUAAACCUCUUUUGCCGGGGAGCAAGGGCCGGGACGAGUCCCGGUCCGGAGAGUACCCGGAGAAAAAGCAUCGGCUAACUCCGUGCCAGCAGCCGCGGUAAUACGGAGGAUGCGAGCGUUAUCCGGAUUUAUUGGGUUUAAAGGGUGCGCAGGCGGGAGAUCAAGUCAGCGGUAAAAUGUCGGGGCUCAACCCCGGCCGGCCGUUGAAACUGGUUUUCUAGAGUUGGAGAGAAGUAUGCGGAAUUCGUGGUGUAGCGGUGAAAUGCAUAGAUAUCACGAAGAACUCCGAUUGCGAAGGCAGCAUACCGGCUCCAUACUGACGCUGAGGCACGAAAGCGUGGGGAUCGAACAGGAUUAGAUACCCGCGUA